Molecule: ribosomal RNA, 253 nt
Filed under: uncultured bacterium
Lineage: Bacteria
Description: partial 16S ribosomal RNA
Rfam family: Bacterial small subunit ribosomal RNA
Source: RNAcentral
UACGGAAGGGGCUAGCGUUGUUCGGAAUUACUGGGCGUAAAGCGCGCGCAGGCGGUUGGACAAGUGAGGCGUGAAAGCCCUGGGCUCAACCUGGGAAUUGCGUUUCAGACUGUUCGACUGGAGUUCGGGAGAGGGUGGUGGAAUUCCCAGUGUAGAGGUGAAAUUCGUAGAUAUUGGGAGGAACACCGGUGGCGAAGGCGGCCACCUGGCCCGUAACUGACGCUAUAGCGCGAAAGCGUGGGGAGCAAACAGG